This 1001-nucleotide ribosomal RNA is filed under the name Sphingobacterium sp. RNAcentral describes it as "bacterial SSU rRNA". It matches the Rfam family "Bacterial small subunit ribosomal RNA", at positions 37 to 1036 of the family's 1533-position model. The record is from RNAcentral. Lineage: Bacteria; Pseudomonadati; Bacteroidota; Sphingobacteriia; Sphingobacteriales; Sphingobacteriaceae.
UAGCACGGCAGCUAUACAUGCAGUCGGACGGGAUCCGGUGGUAGCUUGCUACCACUGGUGAGAGUGGCGCACGGGUGCGUAACGCGUGAGCAACCUACCUCUAUCAGGGGGAUAGCCUCUCGAAAGAGAGAUUAACACCGCAUAACAUCAACAGUUCGCAUGUUCAGUUGAUUAAAUAUUUAUAGGAUAGAGAUGGGCUCGCGUGACAUUAGCUAGUUGGUAGGGUAACGGCUUACCAAGGCGACGAUGUCUAGGGGCUCUGAGAGGAGAAUCCCCCACACUGGUACUGAGACACGGACCAGACUCCUACGGGAGGCAGCAGUAAGGAAUAUUGGUCAAUGGGCGGAAGCCUGAACCAGCCAUGCCGCGUGCAGGAUGACUGCCCUAUGGGUUGUAAACUGCUUUUGUCCAGGAAUAAACCUAUAUACGUGUAUCUAGCUGAAUGUACUGGAAGAAUAAGGAUCGGCUAACUCCGUGCCAGCAGCCGCGGUAAUACGGAGGAUCCGAGCGUUAUCCGGAUUUAUUGGGUUUAAAGGGUGCGUAGGCGGCCUGUUAAGUCAGGGGUGAAAUACGGUGGCUCAACCAUCGCAGUGCCUUUGAUACUGACGGGCUUGAAUCCAUUUGAAGUGGGCGGAAUAAGACAAGUAGCGGUGAAAUGCAUAGAUAUGUCUUAGAACUCCGAUUGCGAAGGCAGCUCACUAAGCUGGUAUUGACGCUGAUGCACGAAAGCGUGGGGAUCGAACAGGAUUAGAUACCCUGGUAGUCCACGCCCUAAACGAUGAUAACUCGAUGUUGGCGAUAGACAGCCAGCGUCCCAGCGAAAGCGUUAAGUUAUCCACCUGGGGAGUACGCCCGCAAGGGUGAAACUCAAAGGAAUUGACGGGGGCCCGCACAAGCGGAGGAGCAUGUGGUUUAAUUCGAUGAUACGCGAGGAACCUUACCCGGGCUUGAAAGUUAGUGAAAGAUGCAGAGACGCAUCCGUCCUUCGGGACACGAAACUA